Long non-coding RNA from Artibeus jamaicensis (Jamaican fruit-eating bat), 357 nucleotides. RefSeq lists it as uncharacterized. The record is from RefSeq and is a predicted model, not a curated record. Lineage: Eukaryota; Metazoa; Chordata; Mammalia; Chiroptera; Phyllostomidae. The transcript is spliced from 4 exons.
GAUGUGGUCCUGCCAAUAUCUUAUCUGAGAUUUGGAACUCAGCCUUCCUGAAGCCUAUGACACAUAUCUGAGUGUACCAAGCCAUUACUUCCCUGACCAUCACACAGUGAACAUAUGGAAGUAAGACUUUCUAUCCCUGAAAAAGGCACGCUCUGUUUUACUGAAGGAAGAAGAGGAAAAGAAGAACAAAACAAAGACGGAAGCUUUUCCUUGCUGAGCGUUUUCAGCCUAGGCUUCAAAGGCAUCUUCCUCAGAACAUGCAUAGGAUCAGCUAAUCAAGAACAGGAGGAGUGGACUUACUCAGGGCAGUCUUGCUGCAAGGCCAAAAGAACAACCAUUGAAAGAAGAGGAGAGAAA